CUAGUGUAUAAAAUUCGAAUCGACAUAUACGGCGCGCUAUGGUUCAUCUAGAAUUCUACCUUCAAUAUACAGUAUGUCACGGGCCUCUCCUCUAGUAGCCGGGACGAGAGACGAAGAACGAGCGCCAAGACAUGCAAAUUAGGCUGGUCACGUGGAUUUACAAGCGGCAAUACGGUAGACCGGAAGGAAGUGCACCGGACCUACGAUCGCGCGCGCGGAAAACGCGUCAAUUGACAUUCCAGACUGACCGCGGGCGCUGGCGACGAAUGGUUGCGCGACGGGCGGCGCGAUCGCGCGUAGGCGCAUCGCCAACAACGGGUCUCCGCGAGUCUGUGAAAAAAAGCAGUUUUAGCGCAUGCGCUAUGACCGUCCUUACACCACACAGCUGUUGUGCAUGCGCGCCGGUCGCAAUGAAACAAAUAGAAGUUCCGAA
Molecule: long non-coding RNA, 433 nt
Filed under: Androctonus crassicauda
Lineage: Eukaryota; Metazoa; Arthropoda; Arachnida; Scorpiones; Buthidae
Source: RNAcentral